This 407-nucleotide long non-coding RNA is filed under the name Phoenix dactylifera (date palm). Its description in RNAcentral is "long non-coding RNA (PDAC_LNC017134)". The record is from RNAcentral. Lineage: Eukaryota; Viridiplantae; Streptophyta; Magnoliopsida; Arecales; Arecaceae.
AUACAUUAGAUGGACCAAUAUAAUCAAGCAAAAAUCGAAUUAUUUUUAAUAAUGCAAUGAUGAAGAUAAUUCAAUUUUUAGUUGAAUUUACAAAAAUAUGUGAAUUAAAAUAAUGAUAAGUGCUAUGAAUAAGAUAUUAAUUUAUGCAUUAUUUAGCACUUAUCACACCCCCCAACUUACAUUUUGCUAGUCCUCGAGCAAAAUAAAAAAACUAAUUCACUUUCGCAGGAAUCGCGAUUGCAUUUACCAUAUGCAAUAAGGCUUUAAACCCCUAGGUGGCCCUAGUGGACGAGUUUUGUCUCGUGAGGGUUUCCGGCGCAGCUACCCACAAACUGCUGUCGAAAGAAUUUAUUUUAUUGUUUUAUAAAAUCUAAUUUCAAAUGCAUAAGUGCCAAUAAUUUCAAAAG